Cygnus olor (mute swan) is the source of this 611-nucleotide long non-coding RNA. RefSeq lists it as uncharacterized. NCBI's taxonomy places the organism in Eukaryota, Metazoa, Chordata, Aves, Anseriformes, Anatidae. The transcript has 4 exons. The record is from RefSeq and is a predicted model, not a curated record.
UAACCAAAAUCUGUUGAUGCCACUGGGAUGGAGAUGUGGUCCAUAUUGCAAAUGCUUGUCAUUCUUCUUCCCCUUUAAAAGUAUGAGGCAGUGGACAUGCAUCUGGUCCUGCCAGUAUUACGAGUGCUGGCCUCCCAUCUGCAGCAGAUAAAAGACAGGGAUUAGGUCCGUGUGCUCUAGCUGCCAACCGUGGAGCUCUCAGCAACCACAGGAUGCAUUCUGGCAUGCUAUGCAUUUAGCCCUGUCUGCUGGAGAAGUAACAAAGGUCAAAUGAAGGAAAAUAUCACUCAGAAAAAUAUUACCAGACGUCACACAGAACAUCUCUCUUUUUUCGACAAAUAAAACCAGCACAGAUUCACAAGAGACCAGGGUCCAAAGUUUCCACAAGGAGAGGGUUGCUCCCUACCAACAAAUCAUGCAGGUAAGUGAGCAAGCCUAAAGCCCUGCAGUACCGAAAGUGCUGGGCGUAGGAUACAUCUUGGUGUAAAUAGCCUUUUUUUCCACUCUUUGGCUGAGGAAGUAGCAGUGCCAGUGACAGUCUGUCCACACAUGAGGCAUUUCCAUUCAGGCAGUGAUUUCACAAAGCUCAGGCAUUGCGGCAGGGAAGGAGG